CUUGUUUGACGGAGCGCGAGAAGAGCCAAAUAUCCCCGCCACAUGUAAUUUCCUUUCGGUUCCACUGAGCCUUCUUGAGGGUAGAUUUUGCCCUUUUGAAUGAACCUGUCAUUAUGCGGGUGAUCCUCACCUUAGUUUUCUGAGCCGAUCAACACAUUUCCGCUACAUCUUUUUCGGUUUUUGAGACAGGGUUUCGUUGUGCCGUUCAGGCUGGCCUUGAACUCACUCUGUAACUCUGAACUUGGUGAUCCUCCUGCCUCAGCCUUGGGAGUGCUGGGGCUACAGGCAUGCAUUCCACGCCACUUCCACCCGGGCUCCCGUUUACGCCCCUUUUAAGCACUCUUAAAUACCCCUUUGUUUGCGCUGUAUUAGAAAAGCCGACCUUGCAGCCGAUGGGCCGCUUCCGGGUUCUCAGUCUGAUCUGGUUCUGUUGGAGGCGCAAUGCUGAGUUCGUCGGUUGCAUCCUAAGCGCUCUCAGUGUUUCUGACAGCGAUGGGAUUUGGUCUUGGAGGAGUCCUGGAGGAGUAAAACGACGUAGUGUGGAUCUUUCCAGGACUUUGCGAAGUUGGGGGUGAAACUCCAGAGCCUCAUUUCUAUUUUUUUCCAAGACGAAAGAUGUUUAACUUUAAAGCUCUUGCUAUGUAGCCCAGCUGGACCUCCAAAUCCCUGCCCAAAUCUUUCUAAAGAAGAAGCAGAGAAUUUGAUAAAAUCCUGGGAAAUGUAAAUGGGGAAAGUAGGAUGUUCAUUGUCACCAAGAAAUACCAUUUAUGUGAAAGAAAAAUGUGUCAGUGCCUUUUAGCUUGGUGUCUUUAGUGCUGUUUUCUCAGCAAAGAACCAUCCGGUUCAGAUGUGGUUUGUCUCUUCUAGCAGCUCGUAGUCUGUUACAUGGAUUCAGCCAUCAUGGACCUCCUCCCUGAAACCACACCUCAGUAACUGCAAACCUGUCUCUUUGGAACUGAAGCUUUUUUUUUGGUCUUUUUCCUUUUUAUUGGUACCGGGGAUCAAACUCAUGACUGCCUGCUUGUAAGGCAGGCACUUAUGCCACUGAGCUAAAUCCCCAGCCCUGAAACUACCUUUUUAAAAGUCCUUAUAUACCAGUCCUAGUCCCAAAAUUAAAGCUAAACGAUGCGUUUUGUGAUAUGGGGAUUGAUUAAUACAGAUUCUCCUAGAUCGCUUUUUAACAUUUACCUCAAGUUUUAGAUACUAAUAAAGAUGAAAAGAAA
Molecule: long non-coding RNA, 1223 nt
Organism: Cavia porcellus (domestic guinea pig)
Lineage: Eukaryota; Metazoa; Chordata; Mammalia; Rodentia; Caviidae
Exons: 2
Source: RefSeq, a predicted model, not a curated record